AAAACGACUCUCGGCAACGGAUAUCUCGGCUCACGCAUCGAUGAAGAACGUAGCAAAAUGCGAUACUUGGUGUGAAUUGCAGAAUCCCGUGAACCAUCGAGUUUUUGAACGCAAGUUGCGCCCGAAGCCUUUUGGCCGAGGGCACGUCUGCCUGGGCGUCACAC
This 164-nucleotide ribosomal RNA is filed under the name Pericallis multiflora. RNAcentral describes it as "5.8S ribosomal RNA". It matches the Rfam family "5.8S ribosomal RNA". From Rfam's summary of the family: 5.8S ribosomal RNA (5.8S rRNA) is a component of the large subunit of the eukaryotic ribosome. Lineage: Eukaryota; Viridiplantae; Streptophyta; Magnoliopsida; Asterales; Asteraceae. The record is from RNAcentral. RNAcentral also lists the same sequence under 4 other names.